Molecule: ribosomal RNA, 109 nt
Filed under: Caerostris extrusa
Lineage: Eukaryota; Metazoa; Arthropoda; Arachnida; Araneae; Araneidae
Source: RNAcentral
ACGGCCAUACAAUGCUGAAUAUACUGUUUCUCGUUAGAUCACCGAAGUCAAGCAUCAUUGGGCGCGGUCAGUACUUGGGUGGGUGACCACCUGGGAACACCGCGUGCCA